GUGAGCUGGAAGGCGUAGCCGGGCGGCAGCCCGAGCCCCCCGCUGCCACCGCCGCCGCCGCCGCUCCUCUCCCGCAGGCUCCGCACCGCGUACUCGAUGGCCGGCCGCACCCGCCCCAGCGAGAAGAGCACUGCCCGAUCAGAGCACAUCAAACGCAUCCCCGUUCAGCUCUCCUCACCGAUCGUAAAGCUGCUAGGCAUCAUAUUUUGUCACGGUCCGUUUAAAAUGGACACUCCUGUUCUGGAAUAAGGAACAAUGUAAGCGUGAGGCAUGCAAAGUCUUUUGUGAAAGAGGCUUUUGGACACCUGAUGCUUUUCAACAGCAAAAUCCUAAAGGAUGUCUCUCUGUACAUUUUUCUAUGUACGCAUCCUCAAACCCGGAGCCAGGGCUGCGCGGUUUGAUGCUUUCUGAUCACUCAGCGAGUGCCAGGUUUGCGCUGGGAAGGAGCAUGUAUCUGAUGGAGCUCAGUAAAAUUUAAAAAACAAAAAAAGGUCACAAAUGUGAAGAUUGGUAGCUUUCCUGAGAAAUGUGCCUCUAAUGUAGUUUUGUUUGAUUACUGAAUUGAACUUCAGAGUGUUCUUGAAAAUUACAUAAACACCCACCCUGGUGAAGCUCGUUUUGUGUGUUCCUGUACCCUACAUAAAUGCUUUUUAAUAGGAACAAAUCCUGCAGUCGUGAAUCAGUAGCAGGCAGAAUGCCCGUGGACUGCAGCAAGAGCGGAGACUUCAGACUAGCCCUUUAGGACUAAAGGCAUUACGGACAUAGACUAUUUUCCCUACAGAAAUAACUCAUACACAAAUCAAGAAUCACUUGACUCGCUCCAACUAGCAUUAGCAACAGUCUGAACUGCCUGCUGCAGAUUAAGAAAAUCCUUCACAGACAGGUUCGCUGAAAACAUAGUCCCCCCUAGAGGCUGAAAAGAUGAAAUAUUUUAGUGUCAUCUGUACUGCAAAUAUAUCGUGCCAUUUAGACUUUCAAAUUCUUUCCUUAUUUUUCUAGAAACCUAUUCUUGUUAUUUCAAGGAAUCUGUAUUUUGGAACACACACAAUGGAUUUCUUAUUGCUACAUGUAGGAUCUGUGUGUCUCUUUUUUGCAUUUUGUGGUCUUACCUUUAUAUAGUUACGUGAAAAUGCACCACAGCCUUUAGGUAAAAGUCUUGCAGCAUAAAAAAUCAAGAUGAACAAACCUGAUGCUAAAAAAUAAAAAGGAGUCAUAUUUAUUUGUUCUGUCUUUUAAUUGACACCAACUUCUGUGUAGAUCUGUAUACAAGAACUACAAAAUGACAAAAUUACACACCAAAAAUGUAAGCAUAUGUAUAGUAAUAACACUUUGUAGAACUAGUUACUGGUGCUGUCAACAGCUUCUACUUCACAGCACAAAGUAAGGUAAGGUGGGCAGAAGAAUAUUCUUUUAUUUUAUGACUGAGGAAAACAAAAUUUGGGAAGGCAAACCAUGACAUACCAGAGGUUGAGGGUGAUCCCAAGGUCAUCCCUCCACUACACCACUGAUCAUCGCUACCACUGCUAAAGUCACAUUGUGUUUAUCCCGUACUGCUGGUGACACAGUGCUGCACCUAUCCUUCCUUUCCCACUGGUCCUCAAAAGUGCACUGAAAUUCAUCUGGAUGAGAGAUGUGCUGCUUGAGUGUGCAAAAGCAAAUCCUAGGAUGAAAAAAGACUGACACCCCACCAUUAGUCAUAAAUUUUGCUCAUGUUCCCAGGGAGCACAGUGAAAGCAGGUACUCCUAAAAUAUAUAAAUUAUGGGGCUAAAACCCAGCCCUAUCUAUCUAUCUAUAUAUAGAGAUAUAUCCCAGUAUAACCCAAUCAGUACUUGCUGUGUUUCCUCCCAUCUUCAAGGUAAUAUUGAAUGUGAGAUAAUAUGGUGAAAAACAACAAAUCAGGAAAUCUUUGCAGAAAUAGAACAUUUGAGGCAAAAUGAGAGCUGCCAUGGCUCCCAGAAAAAUCCUCCUCAGAAGUGGCUUAGUAGGCUCCAGCCCAGUAUAAGAACUACAACAGAGUUGUGACUGUGUGUUUCUUAUACAUGUGUUAGGGACAUACCCUGAUUUAUCAAAAUUAUCUUACUGGCAACUGGUAUGAGUUACAGCAACUUCUGGAUGGCCCAAAAUAAUACCUUGGGAUUGAUAUUGUAUAAAUCAUGGUCAAGUGUGUCUUACAAUUGUCUUACUUCUGUUUCCCAUGUAAUUAUAGCAAAAGGACUGGAUCCAUAACUUCAUUUGCAUCCAUAGACUUCAGAGACUCUCUGAAGCACUGCCCUUCCAUGCAGGAGCAACUGUAAUGACCUUAAACUAGACAUGUCUCAUUAGCCCAUCCAUAAUGCACUUGCAGACACUUCAUUUCUUCUCCCCUUCCUUUUCAGGUCAAUCCACCAAUCUAUGGCAGGGAUAAAUCAGCCCUGACAUAUUUUAUCUAAAAGAAAGCUUAAGAUAGAAGGUAGAUUGCUUGAAAAGUUGUGAGAAUAACUCUAUUUUACAGUAGCAGCCCAUCAAGACAAUGUGUGUGAAAUUAUACUCCACGUUCCCUUUCCAAGGUAUGCCCUAGUCUGUACGAACAAUAAACUCCCCACCUUAGUAAUGAAUGUGCUGAAAUGUGUGACACAUUGUCAAUGAAAUACAGGCCUAGUUCGGAAAGACUGAUGUUAAUUUUAAAAUAGGAGAGCACUUGUUUCUUUUCUAUGACACCAUUAAAAUUUUCACAACUUGUAUAUAGCAUUUUUCAGUUUCUAAUAACUCACAAAGUGUCUCACAAAGGUUAUUGUCUUAACUGCAGGAAGAAGCACUGCGAAUUCUAUAAGGAACAGAGAAAAUCAUCUUCUGAAAUGUUUCAGAAUAAGAGAGAACUUUGUGCACAAAAUUGUAUUUCUAUUGGAAGCUAAUUUAUUUUUGGUGUUCCUACCACUGCCACAUGGAAGCAGUUGCUUUAGGGCUUAUUACAAAGCGCUUUUUUCUUUCCUGUCAUAUGACUAAUAUUCAUGAAAAAAUAAUUACCUGUACUUCUGCAGUUAAGGUGUGUCUGCAGCUGCUGCAGUCAUUUUGCCACACCUAUGCCUUUUGUUUCCAAAAUGAAGGAAAGCUAAAAAAAGACAUGACUACAAAAAAGGUCCAUAGUUUUCAAGAAAUGUAG
Anas platyrhynchos (mallard) is the source of this 3140-nucleotide long non-coding RNA. RefSeq lists it as uncharacterized. NCBI's taxonomy places the organism in Eukaryota, Metazoa, Chordata, Aves, Anseriformes, Anatidae. The record is from RefSeq and is a predicted model, not a curated record.